GUCUAUGAUCAUAACACACUGAAUGUGCCCAUUCUCAUCUGAUCUUGGAAGCUAAGCAGAGUUGUGCCUGGCCAGUACUUGGAUGGGAUAAAUGAGAAUUAUAACAA
This 107-nucleotide ribosomal RNA is filed under the name Cricetulus griseus (Chinese hamster). The record is from RNAcentral. Lineage: Eukaryota; Metazoa; Chordata; Mammalia; Rodentia; Cricetidae.